ACUGAGUAGUAGUAGUUAUGAUCUUGAAACUUAAAAAAUUUGGCGGUAUUUUAGUCUAUUCAGAGGAACCUGUUCUAUAAUCGAUAUUCCACGUUGGACCUUUCUUUUCCUUGCUUUUAGUUUAUAUACCGUCGUUAUCAGAGAAUCUUAAAAGAGAAAUAAUUCUCAAUUAAUUUUAUAAAAUUAUAUAUCAGAUCAAGGUGUAGCUUAUGGGAAAGUAGAAAUGGGUUACAAUAAAAUUAUUUAAAUGGAUAUAAAAAUGAAACUUUUAUUGAAAGUGGAUUUGAUAGUAAAGUUAUAAAGAUAAAUAACUUGAUUUUAGCUCUAAAAUAUGCACACAUCGCCCGUCGCUCUUAUUACUAAGAUAAGAUAAGUCGUAACACAGUAGAUGUACCGGAAGGUGUAUCUAGAAUGACAGUUUAAAGCUUAUAAGUAAAGUACUUCAUUUACAUUGAAGUGAAUUUUGUGCAAUUCAUUAUAAACUGGUAAAGUUUUAUUUGUAGAUAUUUUUAUCGAUAAUUUAUUUUAUUAAAAAUAAUUUUAUAAAAAGGAUUUUUAGUAUUGUAUAAAGAAAAAAUAAAUUAAACUAUAGUGAAUUAGUAUUGUAAAAGAACAUUGAAAUA
This 623-nucleotide ribosomal RNA is filed under the name Dichetophora finlandica. Its description in RNAcentral is "partial 12S ribosomal RNA". The stretch from base 416 to 486 matches the Rfam family "tRNA". Lineage: Eukaryota; Metazoa; Arthropoda; Insecta; Diptera; Sciomyzidae. The record is from RNAcentral.